Molecule: unclassified non-coding RNA, 87 nt
Filed under: Pseudomonas mohnii
Lineage: Bacteria; Pseudomonadati; Pseudomonadota; Gammaproteobacteria; Pseudomonadales; Pseudomonadaceae
Source: RNAcentral
GUGGGAGCGAGCUUGCUCGCGAUGACGGUGUGUCAGUCAACAUCAAUAUCGACUGGUAAACCUCAUCGCGAGCAGGCUCGCUCCUAC